Molecule: ribosomal RNA, 433 nt
Filed under: uncultured bacterium
Lineage: Bacteria
Description: partial 16S ribosomal RNA
Rfam family: Bacterial small subunit ribosomal RNA
Source: RNAcentral
AACGAACGCUGGCGGCAUGCCUAACACAUGCAAGUCGAACGAGACCUUCGGGUCUAGUGGCGCACGGGUGCGUAACGCGUGGGAACCUGCCCUUAGGCUCGGAAUAACUCCCCGAAAGGGGUGCUAAUACCGGAUAAUUUCUUCGGACCAAAGAUUUAUCGCCUUUGGAUGGGCCCGCGUUGGAUUAGCUAGUUGGUAGGGUAAAAGCCUACCAAGGCGACGAUCCAUAGCUGGUCUGAGAGGAUGAUCAGCCACACUGGGACUGAGACACGGCCCAGACUCCUGCGGGAGGCAGCAGUGGGGAAUAUUGGACAAUGGGCGAAAGCCUGAUCCAGCAAUGCCGCGUGAGUGAUGAAGGCCUUAGGGUUGUAAAGCUCUUUUACCCGGGAUGAUAAUGACAGUACCGGGAGAAUAAGCUCCGGCUAACUCCGUG